This 465-nucleotide ribosomal RNA is filed under the name Vreelandella stevensii. RNAcentral describes it as "partial 16S ribosomal RNA". It matches the Rfam family "Bacterial small subunit ribosomal RNA", at positions 338 to 795 of the family's 1533-position model. Lineage: Bacteria; Pseudomonadati; Pseudomonadota; Gammaproteobacteria; Oceanospirillales; Halomonadaceae. The record is from RNAcentral.
CCUACGGGGUGCUGCAGUGGGGAAUAUUGGACAAUGGGCGAAAGCCUGAUCCAGCCAUGCCGCGUGUGUGAAGAAGGCCUUCGGGUUGUAAAGCACUUUCAGUGGGGAAGAAAGCCUUGGGGCUAAUACCCUCGAGGAAGGACAUCACCCACAGAAGAAGCACCGGCUAACUCCGUGCCAGCAGCCGCGGUAAUACGGAGGGUGCGAGCGUUAAUCGGAAUUACUGGGCGUAAAGCGCGCGUAGGCGGUCUGAUAAGCCGGUUGUGAAAGCCCCGGGCUCAACCUGGGAACGGCAUCCGGAACUGUCAGGCUAGAGUGCAGGAGAGGAAGGUAGAAUUCCCGGUGUAGCGGUGAAAUGCGUAGAGAUCGGGAGGAAUACCAGUGGCGAAGGCGGCCUUCUAGACUGACACUGACGCUGAGGUGCGAAAGCGUGGGUAGCAAACAGGAUUAGAUACCCGGGUAGUC